CGACAGGCUUAACACAUGCAAGUCGAGGGGCAGCGGUGGUGAAGGCUUGCCUUUACCAGCCGGCGACCGGCGCACGGGUGAGUAACACGUAUGCAACCUGCCUGCCACAGCCGGAUAAUCGGGAGAAAUUCCGUCUAAUACGGCAUAAUGCACCUAUGGGACAUCCUGUUGGUGCCAAAGGUUGAUUCCGGUGGCGGAUGGGCAUGCGUCGCAUUAGUUAGUUGGCGGUGUAACGGACCACCAAGACGACGAUGCGUAGGGGUUCUGAGAGGAAGGUCCCCCACACUGGUACUGAGACACGGACCAGACUCCUACGGGAGGCAGCAGUGAGGAAUAUUGGUCAAUGGGCGGGAGCCUGAACCAGCCAAGUCGCGUGAGGGAUGACGGCCCUAUGGGUUGUAAACCUCUUUUGCCGGGGAGCAAAGUGCCGCACGUGUGCGGUUUGGAGAGUACCCGGAGAAAAAGCAUCGGCUAACUCCGUGCCAGCAGCCGCGGUAAUACGGAGGAUGCGAGCGUUAUCCGGAUUUAUUGGGUUUAAAGGGUGCGUAGGCGGACGCUUAAGUCAGCGGUAAAAUUGCGGGGCUCAACCUCGUCGAGCCGUUGAAACUGGGUGCCUUGAGUGGGCGAGAAGUACGCGGAAUGCGUGGUGUAGCGGUGAAAUGCAUAGAUAUCACGCAGAACUCCGAUUGCGAAGGCAGCGUACCGGCGCCCAACUGACGCUGAAGCACGAAGGCGUGGGUAUCGAACAGGAUUAGAUACCCUGGUAGUCCACGCAGUAAACGAUGAAUGCUAGUUGUCCGGGGCGAUUGAGUUCUGGGUGACACAGCGAAAGCGUUAAGCAUUCCACCUGGGGAGUACGCCGGCAACGGUGAAACUCAAAGGAAUUGACGGGGGCCCGCACAAGCGGAGGAACAUGUGGUUUAAUUCGAUGAUACGCGAGGAACCUUACCCGGGCUCAAACGCAGGAGGGAUGUUUUUGAAAGGAGGCAGCCAGCAAUGGUCUCCUGCGAGGUGCUGCAUGGUUGUCGUCAGCUCGUGCCGUGAGGUGUCGGCUUAAGUGCCAUAACGAGCGCAACCCCUACCUACAGUUGCCAUCGCGUGAUGGCGGGCACUCUGUGGGGACUGCCUGCGCAAGCAGUGAGGAAGGCGGGGAUGACGUCAAAUCAGCACGGCCCUUACGUCCGGGGCGACACACGUGUUACAAUGGCAGGUACAGCGGGAAGCCACCCGGCGACGGGGCGCGGAACCCGAAAACCUGUCUCAGUUCGGAUUGGAGUCUGCAACCCGACUCCAUGAAGCUGGAUUCGCUAGUAAUCGCACAGCAGCCCCGGCGCGGUGAAUACGUUCCCGG
RNAcentral lists this ribosomal RNA (1351 nucleotides) under uncultured bacterium. Its description in RNAcentral is "bacterial SSU rRNA". It matches the Rfam family "Bacterial small subunit ribosomal RNA", at positions 40 to 1377 of the family's 1533-position model. The record is from RNAcentral.